UUCUGAAUUUACCAAACGAUGAAACUCUGCUGAGGGAUCAUCAUGGAUGACGACCAGAGUUUAUCUCAGGUUAUUUGAGUUUGGAGACACGUUGUACAUUUGAAAUGUUAUGAUCGGUCCAAUUCGAAUUAGAUCCCGUGUUUUAUUUUGGCUAAUUUCCAUUGUGCGUCAUAGCCUUGUGAUUGUUGGAUCUGCCGCAUCAAUUAAUGAAGUCAUAUUCAAU
Molecule: long non-coding RNA, 223 nt
Filed under: Lathyrus oleraceus (garden pea)
Lineage: Eukaryota; Viridiplantae; Streptophyta; Magnoliopsida; Fabales; Fabaceae
Description: Pisum sativum (pea) long non-coding RNA (PSAT_LNC026578)
Source: RNAcentral